RNAcentral lists this ribosomal RNA (457 nucleotides) under uncultured bacterium. RNAcentral's name for it is "partial 16S ribosomal RNA". It matches the Rfam family "Bacterial small subunit ribosomal RNA", at positions 338 to 795 of the family's 1533-position model. The record is from RNAcentral.
CCUACGGGUGGCAGCAGUGGGGAAUUUUGCACAAUGGGGGAAACCCUGAUGCAGCGACGCCGCGUGAGUGAAGAAGUAUUUCGGUAUGUAAAGCUCUAUCAGCAGGGAAGAAAUAAAGUCCUUCGGACUUUGGACGGUACCUGACUAAGAAGCCCCGGCUAACUACGUGCCAGCAGCCGCGGUAAUACGUAGGGGGCAAGCGUUAUCCGGAUUUACUGGGUGUAAAGGGAGCGUAGACGGCAGCGCAAGUCUGGAGUGAAAUCCCAUGGCUUAACCAUGGAACUGCUUUGGAAACUGUGCAGGCGGAGUGCAGGAGAGGGAAGCGGAAUUUCUAGUGGAGCGGUGAAAUGCGGAGAUAUUAGGAGGAAAACCCGUGGCGAAGGCGAAUUACUGGACCGGAACUGACGUUGAGGCUCGAAAGCGUGGGGAGCAAACAGGAUUAGAUACCCCGGUAGUC